This 253-nucleotide ribosomal RNA is filed under the name uncultured bacterium. RNAcentral's name for it is "partial 16S ribosomal RNA". It matches the Rfam family "Bacterial small subunit ribosomal RNA", at positions 524 to 776 of the family's 1533-position model. The record is from RNAcentral.
GACAGAGGGGGCAAGCGUUGCUCGGAAUUACUGGGCGUAAAGGGCGCGUAGGCGGGAUGGCAAGUCGGUCGUGAAAUCCCUCGGCUCAACCGAGGAACGUCGAUCGAUACUGCUGUUCUUGAGGAUUGCAGAGGAGACUGGAAUUCCUGGUGUAGCGGUGAAAUGCGCAGAUAUCAGGAGGAACACCGGUGGCGAAGGCGGGUCUCUGGGCCGAUACUGACGCUGAGGAGCGAAAGCGUGGGGAGCGAACAGG